UUUGGUUAAGUUAGAAAGGGCGCACGGUGGAUGCCUUGACACUAGGAGUCGAUGAAGGACGGGACUAACGCCGAUAUUGCUUCGGGGAGCUGUAAGUAAGCUUUGAUCCGAAGAUUUCCGAAUGGGGAAACCCACCAUACGUAAUGGUAUGGUAUCCUUAUCUGAAUACAUAGGGUAAGGAAGACAGACCCAGGGAACUGAAACAUCUAAGUACCUGGAGGAAGAGAAAGCAAAUGCGAUUUCCUGAGUAGCGGCGAGCGAAACGGAACAUAGCCCAAACCAAGAGGCUUGCCUCUUGGGGUUGUAGGACAUUCUAUACGGAGUUACAAAGGAACGAGGUAGACGAAGCGACCUGGAAAGGUCCGUCGUAGAGGGUAACAACCCCGUAGUCGAAACUUCGUUCUCUCUUGAAUGUAUCCUGAGUACGGCGGAACACGUGAAAUUCCGUCGGAAUCUGGGAGGACCAUCUCCCAAGGCUAAAUACUCCCUAGUGAUCGAUAGUGAACCAGUACCGUGAGGGAAAGGUGAAAAGCACCCCGGAAGGGGAGUGAAAGAGAUCCUGAAACCGUGUGCCUACAAAUAGUCAGAGCCCGUUAACGGGUGAUGGCGUGCCUUUUGUAGAAUGAACCGGCGAGUUACGAUCCCGUGCGAGGUUAAGCUGAAGAGGCGGAGCCGCAGCGAAAGCGAGUCUGAAUAGGGCGUUUAGUACGUGGUCGUAGACCCGAAACCAGGUGAUCUACCCAUGUCCAGGGUGAAGUUCAGGUAACACUGAAUGGAGGCCCGAACCCACGCACGUUGAAAAGUGCGGGGAUGAGGUGUGGGUAGCGGAGAAAUUCCAAUCGAACCUGGAGAUAGCUGGUUCUCCCCGAAAUAGCUUUAGGGCUAGCCUUAAGUGUAAGAGUCUUGGAGGUAGAGCACUGAUUGGACUAGGGGUCCUCAUUGGAUUACCGAAUUCAGUCAAACUCCGAAUGCCAAUGACUUAUCCUUAGGAGUCAGACUGCGAGUGAUAAGAUCCGUAGUCAAAAGGGAAACAGCCCAGACCGCCAGCUAAGGUCCCAAAGUGUGUAUUAAGUGGAAAAGGAUGUGGAGUUGCUUAGACAACUAGGAUGUUGGCUUAGAAGCAGCCACCAUUUAAAGAGUGCGUAAUAGCUCACUAGUCGAGUGACUCUGCGCCGAAAAUGUACCGGGGCUAAAUACACCACCGAAGCUGCGGAUUGAUACCAAUGGUAUCAGUGGUAGGGGAGCGUUCUAAGGACAGUGAAGUCAGACCGGAAGGACUGGUGGAGUGCUUAGAAGUGAGAAUGCCGGUAUGAGUAGCGAAAGACGGGUGAGAAUCCCGUCCACCGAAUGCCUAAGGUUUCCUGAGGAAGGCUCGUCCGCUCAGGGUUAGUCAGGACCUAAGCCGAGGCCGACAGGCGUAGGCGAUGGACAACAGGUUGAUAUUCCUGUACCACCUCUUUAUCGUUUGAGCAAUGGAGGGACGCAGAAGGAUAGAAGAAGCGUGCGAUUGGUUGUGCACGUCCAAGCAGUUAGGCUGAUAAGUAGGCAAAUCCGCUUAUCGUGAAGGCUGAGUUGUGAUGGGGAAGCUCCUUAUGGAGCGAAGUCUUUGAUUCCCCGCUGCCAAGAAAAGCUUCUAGCGAGAUAAAAGGUGCCUGUACCGCAAACCGACACAGGUAGGCGAGGAGAGAAUCCUAAGGUGUGCGAGAGAACUCUGGUUAAGGAACUCGGCAAAAUGACCCCGUAACUUCGGGAGAAGGGGUGCUUUCUUAACGGAAAGCCGCAGUGAAUAGGCCCAAGCGACUGUUUAGCAAAAACACAGCUCUCUGCGAAGCCGUAAGGCGAAGUAUAGGGGGUGACACCUGCCCGGUGCUGGAAGGUUAAGGAGAGGGGUUAGCGUAAGCGAAGCUCUGAACUGAAGCCCCAGUAAACGGCGGCCGUAACUAUAACGGUCCUAAGGUAGCGAAAUUCCUUGUCGGGUAAGUUCCGACCCGCACGAAAGGUGUAACGAUUUGGGCACUGUCUCAACCAGAGACUCGGUGAAAUUAUAGUACCUGUGAAGAUGCAGGUUACCCGCGACAGGACGGAAAGACCCCGUGGAGCUUUACUGUAGCCUGAUAUUGAAUUUUGGUACAGUUUGUACAGGAUAGGCGGGAGCCAUUGAAACCGGAGCGCUAGCUUCGGUGGAGGCGCUGGUGGGAUACCGCCCUGACUGUAUUGAAAUUCUAACCUACGGGUCUUAUCGACCCGGGAGACAGUGUCAGGUGGGCAGUUUGACUGGGGCGGUCGCCUCCUAAAGUGUAACGGAGGCGCCCAAAGGUUCCCUCAGAAUGGUUGGAAAUCAUUCGUAGAGUGCAAAGGCAUAAGGGAGCUUGACUGCGAGACCUACAAGUCGAGCAGGGACGAAAGUCGGGCUUAGUGAUCCGGUGGUUCCGCAUGGAAGGGCCAUCGCUCAACGGAUAAAAGCUACCCCGGGGAUAACAGGCUUAUCUCCCCCAAGAGUCCACAUCGACGGGGAGGUUUGGCACCUCGAUGUCGGCUCAUCGCAUCCUGGGGCUGUAGUCGGUCCCAAGGGUUGGGCUGUUCGCCCAUUAAAGCGGUACGCGAGCUGGGUUCAGAACGUCGUGAGACAGUUCGGUCCCUAUCCGUCGUGGGCGUAGGAAAUUUGAGAGGAGCUGUCCUUAGUACGAGAGGACCGGGAUGGACGCACCGCUGGUGUACCAGUUGUUCUGCCAAGGGCAUAGCUGGGUAGCUAUGUGCGGAAGGGAUAAGUGCUGAAAGCAUCUAAGCAUGAAGCCCCCCUCAAGAUGAGAUUUCCCAUAGCGUAAGCUAGUAAGAUCCCUGAAAGAUGAUCAGGUUGAUAGGUUCGAGGUGGAAGCAUGGUGACAUGUGGAGCUGACGAAUACUAAUAGAUCGAGGACUUAACCAUAUAA
This 2930-nucleotide ribosomal RNA is filed under the name Bacillus thuringiensis. Its description in RNAcentral is "23S ribosomal RNA". It matches the Rfam family "Bacterial large subunit ribosomal RNA". Lineage: Bacteria; Bacillati; Bacillota; Bacilli; Caryophanales; Bacillaceae. The record is from RNAcentral.